UAUGAUCUUACCCAACCCUAUUUUUAAUUCCUUUUGACAGAUAUCAUGUCUUUCAUUUCUUUUCUUUGUUUAGGGUGAACCUGGUGAAUCUGGACGGCCCGGACAAAAGGGUGAACCAGGUCUUCCUGGGCUUCCUGGACUCCCUGGGAUAAAGCAUGGGCCUGUGCAUACCUCAGGAGAUGAUUUAUAUUGCUUUUCCAACAAAAAGAGGGAUAAGCCAAAGGCCAAACUUCUGUCUGUUUCGAUAGGAUUCGGUAUCUAUCUUAUGGAAUGCAAUAUUUACAGUGGUUUUCUCAAAGGACUUGUGAAUUGCCACAACGUUCAUGCAUAAUGUCCUUUCUGUGUUUCUAGU
Molecule: long non-coding RNA, 352 nt
Filed under: Phasianus colchicus (ring-necked pheasant)
Lineage: Eukaryota; Metazoa; Chordata; Aves; Galliformes; Phasianidae
Description: lncRNA (ENSPCLG00000016230.1)
Source: RNAcentral